This 825-nucleotide ribosomal RNA is filed under the name uncultured Actinomycetes bacterium. RNAcentral describes it as "bacterial SSU rRNA". It matches the Rfam family "Bacterial small subunit ribosomal RNA", at positions 71 to 896 of the family's 1533-position model. Lineage: Bacteria; Bacillati; Actinomycetota; Actinomycetes. The record is from RNAcentral.
UUGCCGUAGCAAUACGGUGAUGGGCGCACGGCGCACGGGUGCGUAACACGUGGGCAAUCUGCCCUUUGAUGGGGAAUAACCCGCCGAAAGGCGGGCUAAUUCCGCAUAAGAUUCCCGAGACUUCGGUCUUGGGAUUGAAAGCAGCAAUGCGUCGAAGGAGGAGCCCGCGCCCGAUUAGCUAGUUGGUGAGGUAACGGCUCACCAAGGCUAUGAUCGGUAGCUGGUCUGAGAGGAUGAUCAGCCACACUGGAACUGAGACACGGUCCAGACUCCUACGGGAGGCAGCAGUGGGGAAUCUUGCACAAUGGGCGAAAGCCUGAUGCAGCGACGCCGCGUGGGGGAUGAAGCAUUUCGGUGUGUAAACCCCUUUCGACUGGGAAGAAUACCUCGCAAGAGGGGUGACGGUACCAGUAGAAGAAGCCCCGGCUAACUACGUGCCAGCAGCCGCGGUAAGACGUAGGGGGCCAGCGUUGUUCGGAAUUACUGGGUGUAAAGGGUUCGUAGGCGGUGCGGCAAGUUGGGAGUGAAAUCUCUGGGCUUAACCCAGAGGCUGCUUCCAAAACUGCUGUGCUCGAGUGUGAGAGAGGCUCGUGGAAUUGCAGGUGUAGCGGUGAAAUGCGUAGAUAUCUGCAGGAACACCCGUGGCGAAAGCGGCGAGCUGGAUCACUACUGACGCUGAGGAACGAAAGCUAGGGGAGCAAACAGGAUUAGAUACCCUGGUAGUCCUAGCCCUAAACGAUCAGGACUUGGGGUGCCGCCCGUUCGGGCGUCGUCCCGGAGCUAACGCGUUAAGUCCUGCACCUGGGGAGUACGGUCGCAAGACUG